CCCUGCCAUUUGUACACACCGCCCGUCGCACCUACCGAUUGAAUGGUCCGGUGAAGCCUCCGGAUUGGACGUGGAGGCCCUGCCUCGCGGCCGAGAAGUUGGCUAAAUCUUACCAUUUAGAGGAAGGUGAAGUC
This 134-nucleotide ribosomal RNA is filed under the name uncultured eukaryote. RNAcentral's name for it is "partial small subunit ribosomal RNA". It matches the Rfam family "Eukaryotic small subunit ribosomal RNA", at positions 1651 to 1790 of the family's 1831-position model. The record is from RNAcentral.